CGGAAAUGCGCGUGCUAUACAUGCAGUCGAGCGGACCGACGGGAGCUUGCUCCCUUAGGUCAGCGGCGGACGGGUGAGUAACACGUGGGUAACCUGCCUGUAAGACUGGGAUAACUCCGGGAAACCGGGGCUAAUACCGGAUGCUUGAUUGAACCGCAUGGUUCAAUCAUAAAAGGUGGCUUUUAGCUACCACUUGCAGAUGGACCCGCGGCGCAUUAGCUAGUUGGUGAGGUAACGGCUCACCAAGGCGACGAUGCGUAGCCGACCUGAGAGGGUGAUCGGCCACACUGGGACUGAGACACGGCCCAGACUCCUACGGGAGGCAGCAGUAGGGAAUCUUCCGCAAUGGACGAAAGUCUGACGGAGCAACGCCGCGUGAGUGAUGAAGGUUUUCGGAUCGUAAAACUCUGUUGUUAGGGAAGAACAAGUACCGUUCGAAUAGGGCGGUACCUUGACGGUACCUAACCAGAAAGCCACGGCUAACUACGUGCCAGCAGCCGCGGUAAUACGUAGGUGGCAAGCGUUGUCCGGAAUUAUUGGGCGUAAAGCGCGCGCAGGCGGUUUCUUAAGUCUGAUGUGAAAGCCCCCGGCUCACCCGGGGAGGGUCAUUGGAAACUGGGGAACUUGAGUGCAGAAGAAGAGAGUGGAAUUCCACGUGUAGCGGUGAAAUGCGUAGAGAUGUGGAGGAACACCAGUGGCGAAGGCGACUCUCUGGUCUGUAACUGACGCUGAGGCGCGAAAGCGUGGGGAGCGAACAGGUAAACCCCCCCGGGGAAAAAAAAAGCGCGGGCCCCCCCCCC
Molecule: ribosomal RNA, 800 nt
Filed under: bacterium
Lineage: Bacteria
Description: bacterial SSU rRNA
Rfam family: Bacterial small subunit ribosomal RNA
Source: RNAcentral